Molecule: ribosomal RNA, 508 nt
Filed under: uncultured bacterium
Lineage: Bacteria
Description: partial 16S ribosomal RNA
Rfam family: Bacterial small subunit ribosomal RNA
Source: RNAcentral
AUUGAACGCUGGCGGCAUGCCUUACACAUGCAAGUCGAACGGCAGCGGGGGAGAAGCUUGCUUUUCCUGCCGGCGAGUGGCGAACGGGUGAGUAAUACAUCGGAACGUGCCCUGUAGUGGGGGAUAACUAGUCGAAAGAUUAGCUAAUACCGCAUACGACCUGAGGGUGAAAGUGGGGGACCGCAAGGCCUCAUGCUAUAGGAGCGGCCGAUGUCGGAGUAGCUAGUUGGUGGGGUAAAGGCCUACCAAGGUGACGAUCAGUAGCUGGUCUGAGAGAACGAUCAGCCACACUGGGACUGAGACACGGCCCAGACUCCUACGGGAGGCAGCAGUGGGGAAUUUUGGACAAUGGGCGAAAGCCUGAUCCAGCAAUGCCGCGUGUGUGAAGAAGGCCUUCGGGUUGUAAAGCACUUUUGUCCGGAAAGAAAUGGCUCUGGUUAAUACCUGGGGUCGAUGACGGUACCGGAAGAAUAAGGACCGGCUAACUACGUGCCAGCCGCCGCUGUAA